Molecule: non-coding RNA, 1354 nt
Organism: Physcomitrium patens
Lineage: Eukaryota; Viridiplantae; Streptophyta; Bryopsida; Funariales; Funariaceae
Source: RefSeq, a predicted model, not a curated record
GAUCUGCUUUUCAUUGUCUUCGACACUCGUCCCCUUGCCUGAUCAGUUCUGGAUCUACUCGAUUGUUUCCAGAACAUUGUUGUUUUUUGAGUGACUGCUUGCAAUUGAGUGUGUCCACUUUGAAGGGGAGCAUUACUUGUAUGAGCAACGGACUUAGGUUGAGAGGGUUUUCAUUUUUCCGUCGAAGAACGCGAACAGAUAUGCAAUCUUCUCGCAAUCACACCAUGGGCAAAAUGCAUGAAUCUGAGUAGAUGAUUAUUUGAAUCCUUGUCAGUAAUUUUUGAUAAAAUCUUUGAAAGGCCCUCAAUCGUCUCAACAUUAGCGUCAUGGAAAACUUUUCAGGUUUGGUGCCUUUCCUCUGGAAGACUUUUUAAAAGCCACGCGAUAAGUUUCUGGAGCCUGAGAUGGUGCCCUUGUCCAUGCAUAGUGCUCUGGAAGGCCAGGAAGUCAUCAUACGAGACGACGAAUAUUUUCUCAAUUCAGAAGGUGGAAAAUCACCCAGGUUCCCAAAAUCUCCUGGGAUGUUUGGGAAAUCACCCUCGAUGUUUGCAAAAUCACCUGGGAGAUCCCACAAACGACGACACUCCACCGGGUUGAGUGGCUUCCUUAUGCCGAUGUCCUCGCACCCUCAAGGAUCCCGAUUAUCGUCCUGAAAAAACCCUGAAGAGAUCCGGAUUCUGUGACAACCUUAACAGGUCGAAACUUGGUACGUUGUACUUACAUCUCGCUCGUUACGCAAUCACCAGCAAGAUGAAUCAUCGCCUGAGAGAUGCUAUCUUAAUUGCAAAAUUUUAUGUGAGAGACAGGUUUUUGAUAUUGUACAGCGGACGUAGUUCAGGAUUAGGUCAUGAAUCACCUUGUGAACUCCGUCGAUGUUGCAUUGCACAUUUUUUUGCGAAUAAAUGCACCGAAACAGAAACAUGAAGGGAGCCCUUGAUGUGAAAUAUGGUUAUUAACAGUACUGCCAAACUGCCAAUACAAAAUAGUGUAGUUUUAGAACAAGUGCACUUAUGAUGUUAGCUUCUCCCUCGUAUAAAAUGUUACGAAAGUGAGAUGGGUUCCCUUGUGAUAUUUAUUUUCCCUCUUCAAAUUCAAAUGAUGAUGCUAACUUGCAAUUGCUGACUGCCGUAUUACUAGAUGAAAUUGGUACAAUGGUACAUGAGAGCUGCAAUUAGGUUGUGACAUUUCUCCUAGCAAGUAAACAUGGCUGUUGUGGGACAUGCCUGUCGUUUCGCUCUCUUACAAACCCACUCCAAAGCUGUUGGUAAUGGGUCUCUACGUGUAAUGAAUUAACGUGCUUGCUUGUAGGUGAGCCUCAGUAAAUUCAAGCUCAUGGCAACGAUUCUUUUUUGUA